Callithrix jacchus (white-tufted-ear marmoset) is the source of this 82-nucleotide small nucleolar RNA. Its record names the gene SNORD115. It matches the Rfam family "Small nucleolar RNA SNORD115". From Rfam's summary of the family: HBII-52 is a member of the C/D class of snoRNAs, which contain the C (UGAUGA) and D (CUGA) box motifs. HBII-52 is encoded in a tandemly repeated array with another C/D snoRNA, HBII-85, in the Prader-Willi syndrome (PWS) region of chromosome 15. NCBI's taxonomy places the organism in Eukaryota, Metazoa, Chordata, Mammalia, Primates, Cebidae. The record is from Ensembl.
AGGUCAAUAAUAAGAACUUUAUAUUGUCUUGAAGAGAGGUGAUGACUUAAAAAUCAUGCUCAGUAGGAUUACACUGAGGCCC